AACGCUGGCGGCGUGCCUAAUACAUGCAAGUCGAGCGAACAGACGAGGAGCUUGCUCCUCUGACGUUAGCGGCGGACGGGUGAGUAACACGUGGAUAACCUACCUAUAAGACUGGGAUAACUUCGGGAAACCGGAGCUAAUACCGGAUAAUAUAUUGAACCGCAUGGUUCAAUAGUGAAAGACGGUUUUGCUGUCACUUAUAGAUGGAUCCGCGCCGCAUUAGCUAGUUGGUAAGGUAACGGCUUACCAAGGCAACGAUGCGUAGCCGACCUGAGAGGGUGAUCGGCCACACUGGAACUGAGACACGGUCCAGACUCCUACGGGAGGCAGCAGUAGGGAAUCUUCCGCAAUGGGCGAAAGCCUGACGGAGCAACGCCGCGUGAGUGAUGAAGGUCUUCGGAUCGUAAAACUCUGUUAUUAGGGAAGAACAAAUGUGUAAGUAACUAUGCACGUCUUGACGGUACCUAAUCAGAAAGCCACGGCUAACUACGUGCCAGCAGCCGCGGUAAUACGUAGGUGGCAAGCGUUAUCCGGAAUUAUUGGGCGUAAAGCGCGCGUAGGCGGUUUUUUAAGUCUGAUGUGAAAGCCCACGGCUCAACCGUGGAGGGUCAUUGGAAACUGGAAAACUUGAGUGCAGAAGAGGAAAGUGGAAUUCCAUGUGUAGCGGUGAAAUGCGCAGAGAUAUGGAGGAACACCAGUGGCGAAGGCGACUUUCUGGUCUGUAACUGACGCUGAUGUGCGAAAGCGUGGGGAUCAAACAGGAUUAGAUACCCUGGUAGUCCACGCCGUAAACGAUGAGUGCUAAGUGUUAGGGGGUUUCCGCCCCUUAGUGCUGCAGCUAACGCAUUAAGCACUCCGCCUGGGGAGUACGAC
This 873-nucleotide ribosomal RNA is filed under the name Staphylococcus epidermidis. RNAcentral describes it as "bacterial SSU rRNA". It matches the Rfam family "Bacterial small subunit ribosomal RNA", at positions 32 to 886 of the family's 1533-position model. Lineage: Bacteria; Bacillati; Bacillota; Bacilli; Caryophanales; Staphylococcaceae. The record is from RNAcentral.